GAUGAACGCUGGCGGCGUGCCUAAUACAUGCAAGUCGAGCGAACGGACGAGAAGCUUGCUUCUCUGAUGUUAGCGGCGGACGGGUGAGUAACACGUGGAUAACCUACCUAUAAGACUGGGAUAACUUCGGGAAACCGGAGCUAAUACCGGAUAAUAUUUUGAACCGCAUGGUUCAAAAGUGAAAGACGGUCUUGCUGUCACUUAUAGAUGGAUCCGCGCUGCAUUAGCUAGUUGGUAAGGUAACGGCUUACCAAGGCAACGAUGCAUAGCCGACCUGAGAGGGUGAUCGGCCACACUGGAACUGAGACACAGUCCAGACUCCUACGGGAGGCAGCAGUAGGGAAUCUUCCGCAAUGGGCGAAAGCCUGACGGAGCAACGCCGCGUGAGUGAUGAAGGUCUUCGGAUCGUAAAACUCUGUUAUUAGGGAAGAACAUAUGUGUAAGUAACUGUGCACAUCUUGACGGUACCUAAUCAGAAAGCCACGGCUAACUACGU
Molecule: ribosomal RNA, 496 nt
Filed under: uncultured bacterium
Lineage: Bacteria
Description: partial 16S ribosomal RNA
Rfam family: Bacterial small subunit ribosomal RNA
Source: RNAcentral